UACGAAGGGUGCAAGCGUUACUCGGAAUUACUGGGCGUAAAGCGUGCGUAGGUGGUCUGUUAAGUCUGAUGUGAAAGCCCUGGGCUCAACCUGGGAAUUGCAUUCGAGACUGAAUAGCUAGGGUACGGUAGAGGGAAGUGGAAUUUCCGGUGUAGCGGUGAAAUGCGUAGAUAUCGGAAGGAACAUCAGUGGCGAAAGCGACUUCCUGGACCAGUACCGACGUUCAGGCACGAAAGCGUGGGGAGCAAACAGG
This 253-nucleotide ribosomal RNA is filed under the name uncultured bacterium. RNAcentral's name for it is "partial 16S ribosomal RNA". It matches the Rfam family "Bacterial small subunit ribosomal RNA", at positions 524 to 776 of the family's 1533-position model. The record is from RNAcentral.